GACGAACGCUGGCGGCGUGCUUAACACAUGCAAGUCGAACGGUGAAGCGCCUUCCUUUUUGGUGGGUGUGGAUGAGUGGCGAACGGGUGAGUAACACGUGAGUAACCUGCCCCCUUCUUCUGGAUAACCGCAUGAAAGUGUGGCUAAUACGGGAUAUUCUGGGUCUGUCGCAUGAUGGGUCUGGGAAAGAUAUUGUUUCGGUGGGGGAUGGGCUCGCGGCCUAUCAGCUUGUUGGUGGGGUGAUGGCCUACCAAGGCGGUGACGGGUAGCCGGCCUGAGAGGGUGGACGGGCACAAUGGGAAGGAGACACGGCACAGACUCCGAAGGGAGGCAGCAGUGGGGAAUAGUGCACAAGGGGCGCAAGCCUGAUGCAGCGACGCCGCGUGAGGGAUGGAGGCCUGCGGGUUGUGAACCUCUUUCGCCAGUGAAGCAGGCCUGCCUCGUUUGUGGGUGGGUUGACGGUAGCUGGAUAAGAAGCGCCGGCUAACUACGUG
Molecule: ribosomal RNA, 494 nt
Filed under: uncultured bacterium
Lineage: Bacteria
Description: partial 16S ribosomal RNA
Rfam family: Bacterial small subunit ribosomal RNA
Source: RNAcentral